This 497-nucleotide ribosomal RNA is filed under the name uncultured bacterium. RNAcentral's name for it is "partial 16S ribosomal RNA". It matches the Rfam family "Bacterial small subunit ribosomal RNA", at positions 28 to 507 of the family's 1533-position model. The record is from RNAcentral.
GAUGAACGCUGGCGGCGUGCCUAAUACAUGCAAGUCGAGCGAACGGACGAGAAGCUUGCUUCUCUGAUGUUAGCGGCGGAUGGGUGAGUAACACGUGGAUAACCUACCUAUAAGACUGGGAUAACUUCGGGAAACCGGAGCUAAUACCGGAUAAUAUUUUGAACCGCAUGGUUCAAAAGUGAAAGACGGUCUUGCUGUCACUUAUAGCUGGAUCCGCGCUGCAUUAGCUAGUUGGUAAGGUAACGGCUUACCAAGGCAACGAUGCAUAGCCGACCUGAGAGGGUGAUCGGCCACACUGGAACUGAGACACGGUCCAGACUCCUACGGGAGGCAGCAGUAGGGAAUCUUCCGCAAUGGGCGAAAGCCUGACGGAGCAACGCCGCGUGAGUGAUGAAGGUCUUCGGAUCGUAAAACUCUGUUAUUAGGGAAGAACAUAUGUGUAAGUAACUGUGCACAUCUUGACGGUACCUAAUCAGAAAGCCACGGCUAACUACGUG